CCGGAAUCGAUUCCGGAAUCGGUUCCGGAUUUGGUUCCGGAAUUGGUUCCGGAAUCGGCUCCGGAAUUGGUUCCAGAAUCGGCUUCGGAAUUGGUUCCG
RNAcentral lists this microRNA precursor (99 nucleotides) under Anopheles melas. Lineage: Eukaryota; Metazoa; Arthropoda; Insecta; Diptera; Culicidae. The record is from RNAcentral.